AAAAGUGUGGAGUCAAAUAUAAUCCCAAGUUGGGUAGGAAGAUACUUUACCUACAGUAACAAACAGUACACGGAACAAAGGCUGCUUGUCCUGACUACCUCUGUCAAAAACAAAUGAUGAUGAGUAAAGGUGAAAGAUUUUGACAUGAUGAGGAGAAAAUUGAGCUGCUGAGAAGUUUUUCUUCUUUUAGUGACAUUCAGACACUCCUGCUACAGGAAGAUGAGUUAGCAUUUGCCACCUUCACCGUGCUGCCAACUGACCUCUCCCAGUUUAUUUCUGGUAGAAUUUCCAAUAUUUUUAAUACCAUAAUGCUGGUAGAUAAAAGAUUAAGAAUAAA
Molecule: long non-coding RNA, 337 nt
Organism: Pseudopipra pipra
Lineage: Eukaryota; Metazoa; Chordata; Aves; Passeriformes; Pipridae
Exons: 2
Source: RefSeq, a predicted model, not a curated record